GCCCUCUGUGGCUCAGAUGGAUAGAGCGUCUGCAUUGUAAGCAGGAGAGCCCGGGUUCGAGUCCCGGUCAGGGCA
This 75-nucleotide transfer RNA is filed under the name Schistocerca americana (American grasshopper). Its description in RNAcentral is "tRNA-Thr". It matches the Rfam family "tRNA". Rfam says of the family: Transfer RNA (tRNA) molecules are approximately 80 nucleotides in length. Their secondary structure includes four short double-helical elements and three loops (D, anti-codon, and T loops). RNAcentral also lists the same sequence under 1 other name. Lineage: Eukaryota; Metazoa; Arthropoda; Insecta; Orthoptera; Acrididae. The record is from RNAcentral.